This 73-nucleotide transfer RNA is filed under the name Bos taurus (domestic cattle). It matches the Rfam family "tRNA". From Rfam's summary of the family: Transfer RNA (tRNA) molecules are approximately 80 nucleotides in length. Their secondary structure includes four short double-helical elements and three loops (D, anti-codon, and T loops). Further hydrogen bonds mediate the characteristic L-shaped molecular structure. tRNAs have two regions of fundamental functional importance: the anti-codon, which is responsible for specific mRNA codon recognition, and the 3' end, to which the tRNAs corresponding amino acid is attached (by aminoacyl-tRNA synthetases). tRNAs cope with the degeneracy of the genetic code in two manners: having more than one tRNA (with a specific anti-codon) for a particular amino acid; and 'wobble' base-pairing, i.e. permitting non-standard base-pairing at the 3rd anti-codon position. Lineage: Eukaryota; Metazoa; Chordata; Mammalia; Artiodactyla; Bovidae. The record is from Rfam by way of RNAcentral. RNAcentral also lists the same sequence under 3 other names.
UCUCUGGUGGUCCAGUGGUUAAGACUCUGUGCUCCCAACCCAGGGGCCAAAGGUUCAAUCCCUUGUUGGAGAA